Molecule: long non-coding RNA, 495 nt
Organism: Zonotrichia leucophrys gambelii
Lineage: Eukaryota; Metazoa; Chordata; Aves; Passeriformes; Passerellidae
Exons: 3
Source: RefSeq, a predicted model, not a curated record
UUUUCUGGCAGGAAUUGUGAUCCAUGGUGGAGCAGUUCUUGAAGAAUUGCUCAGGCUCCACACUGGAGCACAAGAAGAGUGUGAGAAGGAAGUAGCAGCAGAGACAUGCAAUGAACUAACCCCAAUACCCACUCCCGCCCUGUGCCACUGGAGAGGGGAGGAGGUGGAGAGCAAAGUUAAACCUGGGAAGGAACACCAGAUAUUUGAAUCAAUAUUCCCUGGGAAGGGAAGACUGUGAAAACCCUAGUGCUUUGGAAUUUCAGGAUCAACAGAAGCCUGCUGGUAUUUCAGCUUAAGCACUAACAGACUUCAUGACUUCAGUUGAAUUUAGCCAAUCAAAAGCUCUGAAUAUUAAUAUGAACAAGCUGCAUCUCUGUACUUCAGCUAUAUUAUUGCUUCACAUUUUGAGCUGAAAAUUCCUGGAUUCAUAGGACUUCAAAUCCACCACCGCUUACCAUCCCUAUCACUUUGAUAAUUUUUUCUUUUCAUCCCACA